Molecule: long non-coding RNA, 4930 nt
Organism: Equus caballus (horse)
Lineage: Eukaryota; Metazoa; Chordata; Mammalia; Perissodactyla; Equidae
Source: Ensembl
CAGGAGCGCCUGGGCAGUGUCCAGAUCCCCGACCUCUGACCCCAGACUUGGGUGUGAAGGAGCCCCUCAGAGCAGAGUGGCCCAGCUCUAUGAGAUCACAGCCUCUGCUGGUUACUACCCACUCCACCUCACCCCCAGACCCUGAGCUCUCCUCCAGCCCCCAGCAGCCAGGCCCCAGGAUGGAGGGAGGGCCUGGGGUUCGCACUCAGCAUUACCUCCAUGGGCCCCCUGGGUUCUGCAGACGCGUGUGGCCUGACCUCACCCUUCAGCCCACACAAGUCCCUGAAAGCCCCUGGGGUCUUGAUGGCCUGGCUAGCCUAGCUCUCCAGCCCCCUGAUCCAGAGGGACCUGGAGAGUGCCAGGCCGAGGUGGGGAGGGGGCAGCCAGACUCAGUUUGGAAGGGACAGGGCUGGACCCCAGGGAUAGCCAUUUGGAAGGUCUUGGAGACGUCAGGACCGGGGCUUUAACAAGCUUGGAGUGUGGGUGGCCUGCAAGGGGAAGACCCCGCAGGCAACAGGGCCGCCCCAGGCCCGUGCCAAGCCUCAGUUUCCUCCUGGGCUACUUGGGGCGCCACGCCCGCCGCAGGGAGGCUGCGCCAGGAAGCGGGUCCUCUGUCAGGAGCCCAUUUUACAGACGAGAAAACCGAGGCUCAGCGAAGUCAGAGUCGGUCUGUUGUCCCUGUGCCUGCACCGGGGGGCUGCCGCCAUCCCGCGACUCCCUCAUGCCCGCGAAAUCGCGCCCACUCCUCUGGCUUCUGCUGCUGGAGUCCCCUCCCCACCAGAGACCCCUUGGCUACCCGGCCACCCCGAGAUUCCCGAGCACCGCCAGAGCUCCGCCGGUCCCAGCGGACUUUCGGUCCCCAGAGCUUCCAGAGGGCGGGAAGGGAAUGAAGCUCUGACAGCCACCCGCUGCCGGCACCUGAGGCUGAUGGACCAAAGCUGCUCACCGCCCCACCCAGAGUCCAUGACCCACCACCCAUCCUUCUCUUCCACACAGGUCCGGAAGCCACCUGAAGACAUGCAACAGGGAGAAGAUGACAUGGGAUCUGGAAAACAGUGGCUCCAAACUAGAAUAGUGAAGGGUGGGCAAUGGGCAGUGGGACUGCCCAGCGGGCCAGGAGCAGGAGAGCAAGGCCCUGGCAGGGAACAUGGGGGGAAUGACUUGACUGCUGGAGAAUGUAAGGAUGUGAUAAAGGCAGACAAUGUGGGGACAAUAAGGCAAACAAACUCCAGGAAAAACAAAAGCCGUCCUAAGAUAAUGCAUUCCCCGCUCACUGCUUAGCCAUGCUGAGGUUCAUAUUUACAUACAGUCCUGAGAGACGCUCUUGACUGAACCAGCCUACAGACAAGCAGGAAAGCACGGUCACUGCUCCAGGACAGGACCUGAGUGUCACUGGCCUUGACUACAUGUUAGGCUCAGCUCCUUGCAAGAGUUGUCUGUGCUGACUGUCUCCACCUCUGCUCCUCCCAUGAAACUCCCCUUCAGGUCUUCCUCGCCUCCAAAUAACCCUGUUCUUCUCAACGUCCACGAUGACCGGAGCUGCCAAGGCCAGCGGUCCAGUCUUGAGCCUUGCCUGACCUCAGCAACAUGUGCCAUGCUGACCCCUCUCUUCCUCCCAAAGCCCUCACCCAUCUCAGUGCUCUUCCUGCCUCAUGGCUGCCCCAUCUCCUCCGAGGGUCCCUCAUCUCCCUGCCCUCUCAGGGCCCAUCUCUUCUCUGUUCACACUCAGGCCACAAGGCUCUCUCUCCAGCCCCUUUUCCAGGUCUCUCUGUCCCGUUGGCCCCUGGACCUCUCUGCUCAGGCAUCGAGGGCACACCUGAAGCCUAGCAUGGCCAGCGCUGACCGUCCUUCCCCUUCUCCCCAACUCUACUCCCCCCUUCUCUCAAAACCCACCUGCAAAUGGCAAAUUCCACACUCUUCUGGCUCUCCUUUCAAACACAACCAAACCCACCUGCUUCUCACGCUGCCACUGCCGCCAUCACCCAGCCCGGCCUCUCCUCUUCAGCUCUGAUGACAGCAUCACCUCCUCACAGGCCCCGAUUCUGUCCUUGCCAUUUUCAGUUAUCACCCAGAAGCGCCCUGUCCAGAUGUCAAACCGCACCCCUGCUUGCUCAAUCUCCCCAAGGCUCCCCAAGAGGCCCCUCCAUCACACUGUCCCCACUCCCUCCUGAUCCCCUCCUGACCCCCUGCAGCUGUGAUACCACUAGCCUGACAGACCAGGCACAGCAGCCUCCUGGCCCCUCUGCCCGUGGCUCCACACCCCAUCUGCCCAGCUUCUUCCUCCCAAAGGGCACCUCCCCUGAGCAGCUUUCUAUGAGAAGCGCUGAUUGCUGUAUCCAUAUUUUAUAGGAACAGAAACUCCAAUUUGCGCCAGGGUUUAUGGCUGCCCACAAAAUACAGGAUGCCCAGUUAAAUUUAAGUGUUGGAUAAACAACAAAUAACUUUUAGUACAAAUAUGUUCCAAAUACUGCAUGGCACAUAACUUAUACCAAAGGACUUGUACUUUUUAUACGAAAAAGUAUUUGUUGGUCCUGCAUCUCUACCUGGCAACCUCAGCUGAGAGCCCAGGCUACACCUCUGCCUCCUUUGCAACCAAGAAUAUCCACGUGACUGAGGUCAACCAACAGGACGUGGCCUGUCUGGGCUGCCCUACAGGGAAGGCACCUGCCUCUGCCACCCCUCUGCUCCUUUCUGGGGGCCCCAGGACAGAAGGAUACUGGUCCCUGCCAUUGCACCCCACUCAUACCCAGGCUCAAGGGCCAGCCUAGGCUGGCCGUGGCUUCAGCGCCCCUGUCUCCUUCUGGCUUGCGUUAGAGCUCAGGGGCAUCAUCACCACCAGACUCUCGCUCGACCUCCCUCCACAGCCAAGGUGGGACUCUGGUUUGUUCACUUGGUCCUGACACCUAGAUUGGCACCUGCAUGUCAGAGGCUUCUGGACAGAAAAGCACUGACAACAGGACAGGUCAAGGGCUGGAGGCCAGUGGGGUGGGGGCAGGGCAGGGCAGGUCCUGCUGAGCUCACGGCAGGAGUGAGGGUCUGAGUAGACACGUGUGCACAUGUGGCACAAAGACAGGCAAUGACGAGGUGACAGCCGGGGGGCAGGGACUGAGGAGCUAAAGCUCACUAUCCUCUCGGGCAGUGAACCAGGAAUGCCCAGCUCUCCCAUCCUAGGCAGCAGCACAGGGGGUCAUGUUGUGCAGAGGUGGCCACUACCAGGAAACUAAAGCUCCAGAGAGACCACGUGUCCCACAGCAGUCACUAUGCUCUGCUGUGCUCCCGGGUGCUCCUACUCUGCUCCAGGGUGUUUCAAAGCAUUGCUGUGACAGUAAAAAACAUUGACAAAAUGACUGGAGGGAGGGAGGGAGAACUCGCUUCACCUGGAGGCCUCCCACCUGGCACUGUGCACACAGGCGUGUGGAUGUGAGUGUGAGCCUGUUGGCCAUGGGUGUGACACCUGUGUUCAGGCCGAGAUCUCUAGCCAGGAGUCCCCAGUGUCCAGGAGCCAGGCUGGGGGCUGCAGGAGGGGACCCAGCAGGAAGGGUGGAAGCUGUGGGGAAGGCCCCAGCCCUCCCUUCCUGGAGGAGCUUCCCCUCGCUGCCCAGUUACCCUCCCUCUCCUGCAGCCUCAGGCUCCUUGACCACCAGCUGGGCCUCCUGGGAGUCCCUGACAACACCUGUCCCCACUGCGGUCCAUAGGAGUCUUGUGAGGCUCACUGCUGGGACAGCUGCUCCCGGGGACCAGGCCAGAGUCUAGACUCCUCUGGCUUCAAAACGAGGGCAGGUAGGCAGGAGAGCAGGUCCCUCAAAGGUGGACUCGCUGUGACCACACGUUGUGUCUGGGUACAAGGCCACACGUGGCCAGACAUGCGUCUCUACUCAGCACUGCUGCUGGUGUGGGACAGGCGCCAAGAGGGACUCAGCUCACAUGGAACAGCUGGGGAAACGAGGCUCAGAGAGGGGCCCAACCAAGGACUUCAGGGUGGCACACAGGUGGGCUCUGGGGGCCAGAGCACAGAGACAGGACACAGGCACGCUGGGCCAGGUGUUUAUUGAUGAGAGAACAGCACCGGCUGAGGGUCCUCAGCGCCCAGCCGGCCAGCAGGCACACAGGGCCCGGCGCUCGGCCUGCAGCAGGAGGGUCUCCGUCUGCAAAGCAACAAGGGGCCAUGAGGGCGCUGCACAGCUGCCCCCGCUCACAGCUCCCGAGGGCCAUCUCCUGGCUUCCCCCCAAACCCACUGGCAGUCCUGUCUCCGCCUGCUCCUGAGACUCUCCGAGUGAGCACCUGACUCUGUCAUGACCCCCCCACUUUGAAUGCAGGUGACUCUGCUGCCCUCAGGGCCUCGUCUCCCCUACUCCUUCCCACCCUCCACUCCCUCAGCGGUUCUGAGCCAAGGAGCCCGGCCAUCACCCUCCGGGCCAAGGGGCUCACCCGCGCGUCCAGGCUGUAGGCCGUCUUCCGCAGGUCCUGCAGGGCGCGCUGCAUGAACUCGAAGGCGUGGCAGUCCACGCACGGGCGGCCUGCGGGGGCGUGGGUCAGGGCGGAGUGGGUGCGCCCCAGCCCAGUCCCGCCCAAGCAGCGGCCUCUGCCGGCCCCCACCUCCACCUAGGGGCGGCCUCGAGCCGGGAGGCGGGCGGGGCGCAGGGACCGCCCCUGGGAACAAAGACCGGGCGCGGUCCUCCCGCGCGCCCCCUCCCGCGCGCCCCCGGCGGGGGUCAGGACCUCGCGGGGACCCCCCACCCGCACGGCACGUACUCUGCGCGGGGACUGCGCUCCCGGCGGCGGGCUCGGGGCGGACCUGGGCGCCCAGCAGCGCGAAGCUCAGUAGUAGCAGCAGCAGCCGCGGCGCCGACGUCGGGGGCCUGCACGGCGGCGGGGGGGCCAUGGCCGAGCCGAGGGAGCCCGGGGCCGCCCUGCAGCGGGCGAGAGGGG